Molecule: non-coding RNA, 45 nt
Organism: Bos taurus (domestic cattle)
Lineage: Eukaryota; Metazoa; Chordata; Mammalia; Artiodactyla; Bovidae
Source: Rfam
GCAAAAGAUCUAUUCAGAUCUACAAAUAAUUAUAAAGUAAUGUAA